AUUUAAUAAAAUAAUUGAUUAAGAACCUACCCAUGGGUGCACAGGGAUCGGUCGAGCCACACUCAGGUAGCCCAUGUAGAUUCUAGUAUCCAUUAAAGAAUUAGUGUAAUUUUUUAAAUUGGAGGUAGAGGCUACUAAUUCAAAUAAAAGAGUGAGAGAAUCUUUAAACUAAAAUCCAUGUCUUUAGGCUUAAUCAAUUCAUAUGCUAAUUAAGUUUUGAUUUUUUUUUUGUAGUUAUGGCCACCACC
This 248-nucleotide long non-coding RNA is filed under the name Elaeis guineensis (African oil palm). RNAcentral's name for it is "long non-coding RNA (EGUI_LNC046687)". The record is from RNAcentral. Lineage: Eukaryota; Viridiplantae; Streptophyta; Magnoliopsida; Arecales; Arecaceae.